Molecule: ribosomal RNA, 252 nt
Filed under: uncultured bacterium
Lineage: Bacteria
Description: partial 16S ribosomal RNA
Rfam family: Bacterial small subunit ribosomal RNA
Source: RNAcentral
ACGUAGGGAGCGAGCGUUACCCGGAAUUACUGGGCGUAAAGUGCGCGUAGGCGGCUUGGAAAGUCUCUUUUGAAAGCUCCCGGCUUAACUGGGAGAGGUGAGGAGAAACUUCCUGGCUUGAGGGCAGUAGAGGAAAGCGGAAUUCCCGGUGUAGCGGUGAUAUGCGUAGAUAUCGGGAGGAACACCAGUGGCGAAGGCGGCUUUCUGGGCUGUACCUGACGCUGAGGCGCGAGAGCGUGGGGAGCAAACAGG